This 566-nucleotide ribosomal RNA is filed under the name Streptomyces sp. LK2332.3. Its description in RNAcentral is "bacterial SSU rRNA". It matches the Rfam family "Bacterial small subunit ribosomal RNA", at positions 48 to 627 of the family's 1533-position model. The record is from RNAcentral. Lineage: Bacteria; Bacillati; Actinomycetota; Actinomycetes; Kitasatosporales; Streptomycetaceae.
CUUAUACAUGCGUCNCGAACGNNNAANCUCCUUCGGGAGGGGAUUAAUGGCGAACGGGUGAGUAACACGUGGGCAAUCUGCCCUUCACUCUGGGACAAGCCCUGGAAACGGGGUCUAAUACCGGAUACGACACGGGGUCGCAUGACCUCCGUGUGGAAAGCUCCGGCGGUGNAGGGAUGAGCCCGCGGCCUAUCAGCUUGUUGGUGGGGUGAUGGCCUACCAAGGCGACGACGGGUAGCCGGCCUGAGAGGGCGACCGGCCACACUGGGACUGAGACACGGCCCAGACUCCUACGGGAGGCAGCAGUGGGGAAUAUUGCACAAUGGGCGAAAGCCUGAUGCAGCGACGCCGCGUGAGGGAUGACGGCCUUCGGGUUGUAAACCUCUUUCAGCAGGGAAGAAGCGAGAGUGACGGUACCUGCAGAAGAAGCGCCGGCUAACUACGUGCCAGCAGCCGCGGUAAUACGUAGGGCGCAAGCGUUGUCCGGAAUUAUUGGGCGUAAAGAGCUCGUAGGCGGCUUGUCACGUCGGAUGUGAAAGCCCGGGGCUUAACCCCGGGUCUGCAUU